RNAcentral lists this ribosomal RNA (229 nucleotides) under uncultured eukaryote. Its description in RNAcentral is "partial 18S ribosomal RNA". It matches the Rfam family "Eukaryotic small subunit ribosomal RNA", at positions 1208 to 1456 of the family's 1831-position model. The record is from RNAcentral.
GGAAAUCUCACCAGGCCCGGACAAUGGAAGGAUUGACAGAUUGAUACCUCUUUCUUGAUUCUGUGGGUGGUGGUGCAUGGCCAUUCUUAGUUGGUGGAGUGAUUUGUCUGGUUAAUUCCGAUAACGAACGAGACCUCGACCUGCUAAAUAGAGCGACGAAUCCUUGUGAUUCGUUGGUACUUCUUAGAGGGACUGUUGGUGCCUAGCCAAUGGAAGUUCGAGGCAAUAA